RNA transcript from Momordica charantia (bitter melon), 3484 nucleotides. RefSeq lists it as uncharacterized. NCBI's taxonomy places the organism in Eukaryota, Viridiplantae, Streptophyta, Magnoliopsida, Cucurbitales, Cucurbitaceae. The record is from RefSeq and is a predicted model, not a curated record.
GUUUGCUUAUUCUUCACGCACGCUAACGGCUAUAAGAUGUAGGGGUUCGCGGUUUACUCAAAUGUUCGUUGCUCUCCCUCUCUUUGGCGCAUCUUCAGUUCAUGGAGUCAACCAUCCAGGCUCUUAUCGCAUUCUGGGUACCACCGUCCCUCUGUUUCACCCCAUUCUCAAUCUCGCUCUUUCAAUUUUGCGAUCGUCAUUCCAAGUUUCUGGUAAACUCACCGACUCCCAUUGAUCGGCAUAAGUUUGUUCUUAUCCAUCUUUUUAAGGCUUUUGGGUACUUCGAAACCCUAAAUUUUUGGGGAGUACUAUGCUGGUCGUACUGAAGAAAUUUUGAUUUUCGUAACUAUCGGUUUCUGUUUCUUUUAUUUUUUCGCUCUCGAUUUGGAAUUCGGAAAUUUGGAGUGUCUAAAUGAUUUCAUAGCUAGCCAGAGCCACGAAGCUGGAUAAGGUUGAGGUACUCUUAGAUUUGAAUGCCUGUUGUUGCCAAAGUUGCGUCUCGUGGUUUCGGCUGGUUAUAGGAAUUUACUGCAGGAUGGCUUAGCAUGCAGUAGUUGUGUAACAUCAGAGACUGUCAUGCUGCCAUAGCCUCACUUGAUAUCCACUUUGGCAUCUCCUCGCUGAAGGUACAUGCAGUUUUUGUAAUAUUUUCUGUGAGUUUUUCCAGAGGAUUUUUCCAAGUAAUUGAUAUCAUGUGUGCCCUAGCGCUAAUCUUAACUCACUGCCUGAACCUUGCGUCUUCUCUAAGGUGCUAGUAUUUUGGCUCUGGAAAUGUAACCGAUGGCCUGAAGUUGUUGAUUUACAAGAUGUGUGGGGGCCAUGGAUGAGUCAGAUGGCGAGAUUACAACAAGCUUCGAGAGAGGGCUUUUACUACAUACAGUAUUUUAUUGGGAAACAUAGAGGAAUAAGUAUGGAUUCUCCUACCCUAGCUUCACUUGAGUGCCAUAUAUCAGAUCAGCUUGCUAMGCGGAGGGGUGAUCUAUGCAUUGGAUCUUUGAUAAAAUGCCUCAGGUUAUAAUUAUUUUUGUUUUGUGAGAUUAUUAUGUAUUUCCUUCAUGGUAUAGAAUAUAUAAAUGAGAUGGGCUAGGGUAGUUGCUUCAAUUUCUGGACUGUUUUUGGUUUCAUUUAGAUGCAAAGUACCUUAAGCGUGCAUUGAAGAAUUGUAUAAGACAACCUAAUCAAUUUUAACUAUUAUUAAGAGUUGAUACAAGAGAYSAUAACAUUAUUUUUCGCGUUGGAAACGUGACCAUAGUCCAACAUUGGCUAGAUAAAGGGAAGAUAUUAGACAUAUAAGUUAGAGACAACCUCUCUAUAUGAAUGAUGCCUUUUGGAUGAUACAAAAAACAAAACYAUUAGGUCUUACGCCCAAAGUGGAAAAUAUAGUAUCAACGGGGAUGUGGAGGGAAGUCCCUUGUCCCUAACAAAUGGUAUUAGAGUCAUGCCUUUAACCUUGUCAUGUGGGAAGAAUGCUCGGGUGCCUAUCUACCCUAUAUGUUUAGUAUUAAAACACCAAUUCUCAAAAUUUUCAACACAGAGAGGGAUGUUCCCAAAAAAAAAAUUUAAACACUGAACAGAAUUUCUUUAGGUUCUCUUUGUCAUUUUUGCCUAGAAUCAAAGUGUCAUCUGCAAAUUGAAUAGAAGAGAUUAUAACCUUAAUUUCYUGUUGGAAAYGCAACCAAAGUCGAACAUUGAMUUAGAUAAAGGGAAGAUCUUGGAUAUAUAAGUUAGRGACAAYAUCUCUAUAURAAUGAGGCUUUUUGGGUGAUACCAAAAGCUAAACCAUGUGGGCUUAUGCCUGAAGUGGACAAUAUCUUAUCGGAGAUGUGGAGGGUGGUUCAUUGUCCCUAACAAAUAGUAUCAGAGUCAUUCCCUUAAUCUUGUCAUGUGGGUAGAGUGCUCGAGUGUCUAAUCACCCAAUAAGUUUUGCAUCAAUGCACCAUCUCUYGAAGUUCUUGAAGACCUAUAGGGAUGCUCCCAAAAUAAUUUUAACACUGAAAAGCAAUUCUCUUGGUUCUUUUUGUCAUWUUUUCCAAGUAUCAUAGUGUCAUCUUUAAAUUAGAUAUAAGAGAUCAUGACCUUAUUUUCCCCUGUUGGGAACGCGACCUAAAGUCCAACAUUGGCUAGAUAAAGAGAAGAUCUUUGAUAUUUAAGGUAGCGACAACAUCUCUAUAUGUAUGAGGUCUUUUGGGUGAUACCAAAAGCGAAACCAUGAGGGCUUAUGCCCAAAGUGGAUAAUAUUAUWUYAAUGGAGAUGUGGAGGGUGGUUCCUUGUCCCUAYCAAAUGGUAUCAAAGUCUUUCCCUUAAUCUUGUCAUUUGGAUARAAUGCUCAGUUGACUAACCAUGCAAUAGGCUUUGAAUCAAUCCACCACCUCUCGAAUUUUUUGAAGACCUAGUGGGAUGCUCCCAAAAGAAUUUUAACACUGAAAAGCAAUUCUUUUGGUUCUUUUUGUCAUUUUUUUCCAAGUAUCAUAAUGYCAUCUUGAAAUUGGAUAUAGGAGAUAUAAUCUUACUUUCCCCUGUUGGGAAUGCGACCAAAGUCUAACAUUGGCUAGGUAAAGGAAAGAUCUUUGAUAUAUAAGUGAGGGACAACAUCUUUAUAUGAAUGAGGCUUUUUGGGUGAUACCAAAGCUAAACCAUGAGGGCUUAUGCCCGAAGUGGACAAUAUCAUAUCGGAGAUGUGGAGGGUGGUUCCUUGUCCCUAACAAAUAGUAUUAGAGUCAUUUGCUUAAUCUUGUCACGUGGAAAAUAUCUGAGACAAAUGGCCUACAAGACAUUUCAAAAUAUCUGAGACAAAUGGCCUACAAGACGUUUCAAAAUAUCUGAGACAAAUGGCCUACAAGACAUUUCAUAAUAAAAAUAAAUAAACUAAACAUAUAUUUAUAUAUAUCGGGCAAAUUGCACAGACUACCUCUUAAGUAGGUAACAUAUGGAAAUGGUGGAGUUUAAAUCCGAGUAGUGCAGUGGAAGCGUGGUGGUUUUCUUACUUAGUCCUCGUUUGGAAAGUUGAAAAUCCUGGAGCGUUACAGUUGGUAUCAGAGUCUAGUAGCACGUUAGGACCUUGGUAAUCCAUGCUCAAAAGAACCAUGGUUUCAAGAAAACGUUAUUUUGAGGGAAAAAAAUAAGAGAGGAAAAUUUAUAUAAAAAAUUAAACUAACAUACUUUAGUUUGCUUAAUUCCCUUGGCUCGUGAUAUCUUAAUAAUUAUAUAAUCAAAAUUAGAAUAGCAGGAUCAACAUUUGAGCAAGAAUAUAUCAACCUAAGCAUGGCUAACCAGGUUAAGGCAUAUAUUUCAAACAAAAAAUUGUGGGUUUGAAUCCUCACCCUAUAUGUUGUUAAUACUCAAAAAAAAGGAGGUUUGAAUGAGGAUAAAAGCAACCCUGAGACAUAAUACGACAUGACAUUUAUCACCAUCUUCUCUUCACGUCCCAUGAGAUUAUAUCAAAUGAAUUAAUAUAUUUUCUCCAUCUUGUUUAGUUCCUAUGAG